The sequence is a transfer RNA, 74 nucleotides long. It matches the Rfam family "tRNA". Rfam says of the family: Transfer RNA (tRNA) molecules are approximately 80 nucleotides in length. Their secondary structure includes four short double-helical elements and three loops (D, anti-codon, and T loops). The record is from Rfam.
GCCCAGGUAGCUCAGUCCGGGAGAGCGUCAGACUGAAGAUCUGAAUGUCCCCGGUUCGAAUCCGGGUCUGGGCA